RNAcentral lists this transfer RNA (73 nucleotides) under Stegodyphus mimosarum. It matches the Rfam family "tRNA". From Rfam's summary of the family: Transfer RNA (tRNA) molecules are approximately 80 nucleotides in length. The record is from Rfam by way of RNAcentral. Lineage: Eukaryota; Metazoa; Arthropoda; Arachnida; Araneae; Eresidae.
GCCUUCGUGGCGUAGUGGUCAGCACGCUCGAUGCGUAACCGAGAGGUCCGUGGUUCGAUUCCCGGCGAAGGCG